UUCAAUGAUGAAAACUGCUGCAUAGGAAGUGCCGUCUGAUGCGAUAACUGACGAUGGCUAUAUGAGCUGCUCUGAGG
Cynoglossus semilaevis (tongue sole) is the source of this 77-nucleotide small nucleolar RNA. Ensembl annotates it as small nucleolar RNA SNORD49. NCBI's taxonomy places the organism in Eukaryota, Metazoa, Chordata, Actinopteri, Pleuronectiformes, Cynoglossidae. The record is from Ensembl.